ACGGAGGAUGCAAGCGUUAUCCGGAAUCAUUGGGUUUAAAGGGUACGCAGGCGGAUUCUUAAGUCAGAGGUGAAAGCCUGGAGCUCAACUGUAGAACUGCCAUUGAUACUGGUAGUCUUGAGUUUGGUAGAGGUAAGUGGAACUGCGAGUGUAGAGGUUAAAUGCUUAGAUAUUCGCAAGAACACCAGUGGCGAAGGCGGCUCACUGGCCCGAUACUGACGCUGAGGUGCGAAAGCGUGGGGAGCAAACAG
RNAcentral lists this ribosomal RNA (251 nucleotides) under uncultured prokaryote. Its description in RNAcentral is "partial 16S rRNA". It matches the Rfam family "Bacterial small subunit ribosomal RNA", at positions 525 to 775 of the family's 1533-position model. The record is from RNAcentral.